CUCAAUUCUAUGUCAGAUUGGCCAGUGUCAAAAAUGAAAUUAAGUGAGGAACAAUUUAAAAGUUCAUUGUCCAAAGAAAGACCGCUUUGUUAACUGGGAGACCUCAAACUGAACAUGAUGCGAGGAAUUUUAACCAAAUUAAAGAGGCUUUGUUAACCAUAAUUUGGAAUUGUCAUAUAGAUUUAAUCAAGUCAGAUUCAGAAUUCCUUUCAUCAUGGAAACAUCGAUUUACACUAAACAAUAUAGGAAUGAAAAUAUUGUACAUUACUGAUACAGUUAAAAGAGAUGUCUGCAGACUA
Molecule: long non-coding RNA, 299 nt
Organism: Homo sapiens (human)
Lineage: Eukaryota; Metazoa; Chordata; Mammalia; Primates; Hominidae
Exons: 4
Source: RefSeq, a predicted model, not a curated record